UACGAAGGGAGCGAGCGUUGUUCGGAAUCACUGGGCGUAAAGCGUGCGUAGGCGGUUUUGUAAGUAAGAAGUGAAAGCCUGGGGCUUAACCCCAGAAUUGCUUUUUAGACUGCAAAGCUAGAGUAUUGGAGAGGUUAGUGGAAUUCCGAGUGUAGAGGUGAAAUUCGCAGAUAUUCGGAGGAACACCAGUGGCGAAGGCGACUAACUGGACAAUUACUGACGCUGAGGCACGAAAGCGUGGGGAUCAAACAGG
Molecule: ribosomal RNA, 253 nt
Filed under: uncultured bacterium
Lineage: Bacteria
Description: partial 16S ribosomal RNA
Rfam family: Bacterial small subunit ribosomal RNA
Source: RNAcentral